GGGGCUGGGGCUCAGUGGUAGAGCACUUGUCUAGCAUGCAUAAGACAAUGGGUUCGAUCCUCAGCACCA
This 69-nucleotide transfer RNA is filed under the name Ictidomys tridecemlineatus (thirteen-lined ground squirrel). RNAcentral describes it as "Spermophilus tridecemlineatus (thirteen-lined ground squirrel) tRNA". It matches the Rfam family "tRNA". From Rfam's summary of the family: Transfer RNA (tRNA) molecules are approximately 80 nucleotides in length. Lineage: Eukaryota; Metazoa; Chordata; Mammalia; Rodentia; Sciuridae. The record is from Rfam by way of RNAcentral.